AAGGAUUUAAGUUAAAUAAACUCGUAGCCUUCAAAGCUCCAAAUAAAGAUUUUUAUAAUUCUUU
RNAcentral lists this transfer RNA (64 nucleotides) under Atheta sp. 1 EF-2015. RNAcentral's name for it is "tRNA-Trp". Lineage: Eukaryota; Metazoa; Arthropoda; Insecta; Coleoptera; Staphylinidae. The record is from RNAcentral.